GCCGAAGUGGUGGAACUGGUAGACACGCCAGACUCAAAAUCUGGUGUCUUUGCGGACGUGCCGGUUCGACUCCGGCCUUCGGUACCA
Molecule: transfer RNA, 87 nt
Filed under: Mariprofundaceae bacterium
Lineage: Bacteria; Pseudomonadati; Pseudomonadota; Candidatius Mariprofundia; Mariprofundales; Mariprofundaceae
Description: tRNA-Leu
Rfam family: tRNA
About the family: Transfer RNA (tRNA) molecules are approximately 80 nucleotides in length. Their secondary structure includes four short double-helical elements and three loops (D, anti-codon, and T loops).
Source: RNAcentral